UGAGUACGAGAUGCUACGGCAUCGAAGCAGUCUAUGUCAUACUUCCAAGAAAAGCUUGCACUGUCAUAAACAAAGAAUGCCUGUACCAUAACCGACACAGGUGGGUAGGUAGAGUAUACUAAGGGGCGCGAGAUAACUCUCUCUAAGGAACUCGGCAAAAUGACUCCGUAACUUCGGGAGAAGGAGUGCCUUAUUUCUAAGGUUGCAAUAACAAGAUCCAAGCAACUGUUUACCAAAAACACAGGUCUCCGCUAAGUCGUAAGACGAUGUAUGGGGGCUGACGCCUGCCCAGUGCCAGAAGGUUAAAGAAGUUGGUUAGCAUUAGCGAAGCUGAUAACUGAAGCCCUGGUGAACGGCGGCCGUAACUAUAACGGUCCUAAGGUAGCGAAAUUCCUUGUCGGGUAAGUUCCGACCCGCACGAAAGGCGUAAUGAUUUGGAUACUGUCUCGGAGAGGGGCUCGGUGAAAUAGACUUGUCUGUGAAGAUGCGGACUACCUGCACCUGGACAGAAAGACCCUAUGAAGCUUUACUGUAACUUGAGAUUGAAAUUGGACUUUAUUUGCGCAGUAUAGGUGGGAGGCGUUGAGAAUAAUCUUGCGGGAUUGUUGGAGCCAUCAGUGAGAUACCACUCUUGUAAUGUUAGAUUUCUAACUUUGUAUCAUUAUCUGGUCAAAGAACAGUUUCAGGCGGGCAGUUUGACUGGGGCGGUCGCCUCCCAAAGGGUAACGGAGGCGCACAAAGGUUUCCUCUGAACGGGUAGAAAUCGUAUCUAGAGUGUAAAGGCAUAAGGAAGCUUGACUGUGAGACCUACAAGUCGAGCAGGGACGAAAGUCGGUCUUAGUGAUCUGACGGUGCUGAGUGGAAAGGCCGUCACUCAACGGAUAAAAGUUACUCUAAGGAUAACAGGCUGAUCUCCCCCAAGAGUUCACAUCGACGGGGAGGUUUGGCACCUCGAUGUCGGCUCAUCGCAUCCUGGGGCGGUAGUCCGUCCCAAGGGUUGGGCUGUUCGCCCAUGAAAGCGGUACGCGAGCUGGGUUCAGAACGUCGUGAGACAGUUCGGUCCAUAUCCGGUGUAGGCGUUAGAAUAUUGAGAGGAGCCUUCUCUAGUACGAGAGGACCGAGAAGGACAUACCUCUGGUGUACCAGUUAUCGUGCCAACGGUAAACGCUGGGUAGCUAUGUAUGGAGUGGAUAACCGCUGAAAGCAUCUAGGUGGGAAGCCCACCUCAAGAUAAGUAUUCU
This 1241-nucleotide ribosomal RNA is filed under the name metagenome. RNAcentral describes it as "bacterial LSU rRNA". It matches the Rfam family "Bacterial large subunit ribosomal RNA", at positions 1564 to 2814 of the family's 2925-position model. The record is from RNAcentral.